UUUUUUUCGGGUAGUGGGUUGGAGAGGAAGGGGCGUGCUGGUUUCGGGUUGGAGAGGAGGGGAGUGAGAGGUGAGGGACAGGUGAGGUAGUGUGUGCUAGGGAUCUAGAGUCGCCUCCGUGGAUGAGGUGAGGGAGGCGAGAGCGGGGGCAUCGGCCGCUGGAACAGAGGGUGGCGGCGGGGAGAGUAGGGGGGAGGUGAGUAGUUGCUGCCGAUCUACGCGUGUGUUGGCCACUGGCUGUAGUACGUUCCAGCGGUGACGGCAGCAGCUUCCUAUCAGAAGGGUGUAGCGAUCGGCGUCGGAGGCGGAGCGGGGCUAGGAGCAGGAGGAGCUGGCGGUGAGCGAGAGGAACCGUCGUGGAGUGGCGGAGGGACGGGUACGGCACAGGCGGCUGUCGGGAUGAGUACGGCUGGAGCGAUUAGUACGCCAUCGCGAACCGACACGAGUGGAACAGGAGCAGCCGCAGCGCCGGCGUCCGGUGCACUUGAUGUUGAGGCGACGGUCACCGCUGCUCAGGAAGGACACGGAGAUGACGGAGCACCGACUAAGGAGGAGAGGGGUUUAACUGUAGGUGGGGAAACAGCUCGGGCGGCACGGUCGCUGUACUCGUUCUACCACAUGUGGCUGAGACCUACUCCAGUUGCGACUACCGCUGAGCUUGCCAAGCACCUCGACAUGGUCCUAGGAUAUCUCGUCUACCCGUAGUAGCUCUACGUCAUGUGAGCACGUCAUGUGUGAGAGAAUCCGUCCAUUCGUUGGGCUCUGUUGAAUCAAACACUUCUAGCCACCAAGUACCAGACCUUCAAAAUAAAGAGAGAGAUUUAAAACAUGAUGAAUCUAUCAGGGAAUGUACGGAAAAUAACGAACUAGUGUGAAAUAUACAUGCACGUUCUUUCCUCAACAAUUGAGUUUGUAAUUACAAUUAAAAACAAUUGAUGUAUGACACAACCUGUAACCAAAAAACUUUAACUGAGGCACAACUUAACCAAAAAGAACAACACAUCGUACUCGUUAAAUAAACGGCCAUACGCGACAACACAUAUCGACCCGUUUGCCCGGCCCGGUUGGUCGGGCACUCGUACGGCUGUGUCGGACGGACCCGGUCCGUGCUGUGCCCGAUUUACCCUGCACGGGCCGUGCGCUGUGUGGAACCCGGCACGGACCCGGACCUCCGACCCGCGUGUCCGGUCGUGUCAUGCUGCGUAAUUAAAAAAUAUAUAAAAAAGUCUAAAAAAUAUAUAUAUGGAUUUUAUGCCGGGUUAUCCGGAUUUUUAGUCGGGUUGUCCGACUUUUACACGUCGGGUCGUACCAUCGUACGAUCUACCCGGUUGUACGGCGGGGCAAAUGAUUGAUCCGGCACGGACCCGGAUCUCCGCGUUGUGCACCUGGCUGUGCCAUGCUGGGCAAAUGAUUUACACGGUGGCACCCGGCCCGACACGGACCGUGCUAACCGUACCCGGCCCAGUCGGGCAAACCGGUCGAUACAACAACACACGGCGUUGGAUCGUUAGACAAGUACGGUUUACUAGUUGAGGACCACUCCAAGUAACGAUCUGUACGUGCCAGAGGCGCCCGUUCCAUAAGCUUCGGCGGGAAACCAGUGAACACAAGAUAAAGAUUUCUCAACACUCUGUAGUGUUACUUUAUAAGCAUAACUACACUAAUCGUUCACAUGAAUUACUGUGUAUGUACAUUGCACAAUACACAUUGCGACUUAGACUACACCGAUAUGAUACACUUAAAUACUUCCGGAUUAAAGGAAAAAUCGUAAAACAUGUUUGCUAUAUGAAUAUUAGUUUCUCUGUUGCUAAUGUUCACAUACUACCACUCGGGUUAAGGGUGUAACUACAAUAGUGGUUUGUAAAAAAAUACGUCUUCCUAACCUGUUCUUUAUGGUUCCGUGUGUACAAACAAAGAAACUUCUCUCUGUUGUCUAGGGAUACGGGUACUUUGCUGAAUCUAUUAUUCGUAGUGGCCUCCAAGUUUUAUUCUUCUCAUGAAUUCUCCUUAGAAAGAUAUCCAAUUCAUAUACAAGAAUACGCAUGGAAACGUAGAACAGGAUAUUAUACAAUAACAAGACACAAUGGAGUUUCCAAAGUACCAAGAAUAAGUUUAUUUUAUUCUUGUCUAGUGAAACAUAGUACGAACGAAACUAUUGUGAAAAGUAAAUGAACGCGAAGAUCUUACAGUAACCACACCUUGAAGAAGAGUCCUCGUACGUAUGAAACUCGGAAAUCCCGGAUGUAAACAAGAACAUGAAGUGACAUACUUUACAUAAUCCUGUAACCGUAUAUAGCACGUACGAAACGUGGAUAUCAAAACUAGAUGGGUGUACUAGGUAACACUUCUAUCUAUAAUCAUGCCUUUACUUUUCAAGACGAACUACGGGG
This 2390-nucleotide ribosomal RNA is filed under the name Triticum aestivum (bread wheat). RNAcentral describes it as "partial small subunit ribosomal RNA". Lineage: Eukaryota; Viridiplantae; Streptophyta; Magnoliopsida; Poales; Poaceae. The record is from RNAcentral.